CGUUCGGAGACAGUUCUAGCGAUCAGUGGCAUUUUUCAGAUAUUCCUGCAAAUUGGCGCUACUUAUUGGAAUUUUUCACGCAACAAUUCACACGUUCCUACUUGGCCCAAGCGAUCUAAUACGAACCGUAUUUGUCAUUGUUUUGCCAAUUAGAUUCCUUGUUUAUGAGGUUUCAUCACCGCGAGAAACUUAUUGAUUGAUUUUCAUUGGCUUUUAUCGGUGAGAUCGAACUACCUAAGCUCAAAGUGGAAGGGAGCAUGUUUGUAAAGCACGAUGAAGCACAGAAUUGAAAGUUAUCGCAAGCGAGCGACAAGUAUGAAAUUGAGUAGAAGUUGAAACGUAAGCAGAGGGCCAUUGAAGAACAACACGAAAUUGAAAUCGCUGUUAUUUUACCUAACGUCCACCCAGGAACGGCUUGGCUGAUAGUGUGUGAACUAUCUUACCAAGACAGGCAAAAUAACAGCGAUUUCAACCUGCUGAUAUGUUGUUCGGCGUUCGACUUCUAAAGUACUGUGCAUAUAGAUAGGGCAAGUAGAGCUCAAGUAAUGAUUCCUGUACUGAUAUUUCUUGGGCAGUACGGAGCUGACAAGGAAAACGAACAAUUUGGUUAAGCAGGCGUAUUUCAUUGCAGAAAAUUGCAGACUGACAGUUUCCGUUCAGAAAUAACUAAUCGAUACAUUAUUACUCAAGUAAUAGUGACGUUUUAUUAAGAUUAUUUCUAACUAUUUUAAAAAAAUCAUUCGCGUUCAAUUUUUUUUCUGAUUUCCUAAGUGAAUCCUGCGCUCUGCACUUCCGUUUACAGAGGAUCAGUGAGCCAAGUCCAGCGCCGACCAAGCAAUAUCAGUCGACAGUGAAGCCAGUCCUCACCGAGUGCCACUGCAGAUUCCACAUCACGCUAACCCCAUUGAAAUCGUUUAUUUUGUGCAGCGUGUAGUGCGAAGCACAAAACUCAGUGCAAUACAAUAUUAUCGUCGGUCGUGGUUUCUGUUUCCAUACCGGAAAGUGGUUCUUUUAUUUGGAGAAAUGGAUGAUUUUAUUGAUUACGAUAUAGAAUUGUUAGAAAGUGAAGAAUUGGUUGACCUUACACAAAGUUGUCCCUCUCAAAAUCAACCACCGAAGCCGG
Molecule: long non-coding RNA, 1123 nt
Organism: Armigeres subalbatus
Lineage: Eukaryota; Metazoa; Arthropoda; Insecta; Diptera; Culicidae
Exons: 3
Source: RefSeq, a predicted model, not a curated record